CACAAGCGGUGGAGCAUGUGGUUUAAUUCGAUGCAACGCGAAGAACCUUACCUACUCUUGACAUCCAGAGAACUUAGCAGAGAUGCUUUGGUGCCUUCGGGAACUUUGAGACAGGUGCUGCAUGGCUGUCGUCAGCUCGUGUUGUGAGAUGUUGGGUUAAGUCCCGCAACGAGCGCAACCCUUAUCCUUUGUUGCCAGCGGUCCGGCCGGGAACUCAAAGGAGACUGCCAGUGAUAAACUGGAGGAAGGUGGGGAUGACGUCAAGUCAUCAUGGCCCUUACGAGUAGGGCUACACACGUGCUACAAUGGCAUAUACAAAGAGAAGCGACCUCGCGAGAGCAAGCGGACCUCAUAAAGUAUGUCGUAGUCCGGAUUGGAGUCUGCAACUCGACUCCAUGAAGUCGGAAUCGCUAGUAAUCGUGGAUCAGAAUGCCACGGUGAAUACGUUCCCGGGCCUUGUACACACCGCCCGUCACACCAUGGGAGUGGGUUGCAAAAGAAGUAGGUAGCUUAACCUUCGGGAGGGCGCUUACCACUUUGUGAUUCAUGACUGGGGUGAAGUCGUAACAAGGUAGCCGUAA
This 581-nucleotide ribosomal RNA is filed under the name uncultured bacterium. RNAcentral describes it as "bacterial SSU rRNA". It matches the Rfam family "Bacterial small subunit ribosomal RNA", at positions 924 to 1505 of the family's 1533-position model. The record is from RNAcentral.